This is a small nucleolar RNA of Ornithorhynchus anatinus (platypus), 138 nucleotides long. The record is from RefSeq and is a predicted model, not a curated record. NCBI's taxonomy places the organism in Eukaryota, Metazoa, Chordata, Mammalia, Monotremata, Ornithorhynchidae.
ACCCUUUUGGGGUCGCAUCUGGAGAGUUUCCAGUACUCUAUCAGUCUAGGCUAUGGGAGGGAGAGUCAAAUAGAGGCCUACCCCUUCCAUUCCUAGCUUGGACAGUGGCUAGCGAGUGGAAGGUAAUCUGCUACAAGU